UUCCCGUACUUGGUGUUACUGCGAAGGGGGGACGGAGAAGGCUAUGUUGGCCGGGCGACGGUUGUCCCGGUUUAAGCGUGUAGGUGUGUGUUCCAGGUAAAUCCGGAACAUCAAGGCUGAGGCGUGACGACGAGGCACUACGGUGCUGAAGCAACAAAUGCCCUGCUUCCAGGAAAAGCCUCUAAGCAUCAGGUAACAUCAAAUCGUACCCCAAACCGACACAGGUGGUCAGGUAGAGAAUACCAAGGCGCUUGA
Molecule: ribosomal RNA, 255 nt
Filed under: Salmonella enterica subsp. enterica serovar Kentucky
Lineage: Bacteria; Pseudomonadati; Pseudomonadota; Gammaproteobacteria; Enterobacterales; Enterobacteriaceae
Description: partial 23S ribosomal RNA
Rfam family: Bacterial large subunit ribosomal RNA
Source: RNAcentral